GUUCCUGUAGUUGAAGCAACAACGAUGGCUUUUCAGGUCAGAGGUCUUGGAGAAAGGCCAAGCAGGAAUU
This 70-nucleotide transfer RNA is filed under the name Tachuris rubrigastra. RNAcentral's name for it is "tRNA-Glu". The record is from RNAcentral. Lineage: Eukaryota; Metazoa; Chordata; Aves; Passeriformes; Tyrannidae.